Molecule: ribosomal RNA, 495 nt
Filed under: uncultured bacterium
Lineage: Bacteria
Description: partial 16S ribosomal RNA
Rfam family: Bacterial small subunit ribosomal RNA
Source: RNAcentral
GACGAACGCUGGCGGCGUGCCUAAUACAUGCAAGUAGAACGCUGAAGGAGGAGCUUGCUUCUCUGGAUGAGUUGCGAACGGGUGAGUAACGCGUAGGUAACCUGCCUGGUAGCGGGGGAUAACUAUUGGAAACGAUAGCUAAUACCGCAUAAGAGUAGAUGUUGCAUGACAUUUGCUUAAAAGGUGCAAUUGCAUCACUACCAGAUGGACCUGCGUUGUAUUAGCUAGUUGGUGGGGUAACGGCUCACCAAGGCGACGAUACAUAGCCGACCUGAGAGGGGAAUCGGCCACGCUGGGACUGAGACACGGCCCAGACUCCUACGGGAGGCAGCAGUAGGGAAUCUUCGGCGAUGGACGGAAGUCUGACCGAGCAACGCCGCGUGAGUGACGAAGGGUUUCGGAUCGUAAAGCUCUGUUGUGAGAGAAGAACGAGUGUGAGAGUGGAAAGUUCACACUGUGACGGUAUCUUACCAGAAAGGGACGGCUAACUACGUG